GACGUAGGAGGCGAGCGUUGUCCGGAUUCAUUGGGCGUAAAGAGCGCGCAGGCGGCUUGGUAAGUCGGAUGUGAAAUCCCGAGGCUCAACCUCGGGUCUGCAUCCGAUACUGCCCGGCUAGAGGUAGGUAGGGGAGAUCGGAAUUCCUGGUGUAGCGGUGAAAUGCGCAGAUAUCAGGAGGAACACCGGUGGCGAAGGCGGGUCUCUGGGCAACAACUGACGCUGAGGAGCGAAAGCGUGGGGAGCGAACAGG
RNAcentral lists this ribosomal RNA (253 nucleotides) under uncultured bacterium. RNAcentral's name for it is "partial 16S ribosomal RNA". It matches the Rfam family "Bacterial small subunit ribosomal RNA", at positions 524 to 776 of the family's 1533-position model. The record is from RNAcentral.